RNAcentral lists this long non-coding RNA (993 nucleotides) under Capra hircus (goat). RNAcentral describes it as "lncRNA (ENSCHIG00000001289.1)". The record is from RNAcentral. Lineage: Eukaryota; Metazoa; Chordata; Mammalia; Artiodactyla; Bovidae.
CCUAUCCUUAGGUACUUAAAGAAGCCAGUCUGCAGUGGUCAUGUGGGAGAGCACAGGUUCGAGUGGAGGCCGGAGCAGUGGCGAUCUAGCCCUGAUCCUCAUCACACCGAGUGAAUUUGGGGCUUGCUGUUUUCCCCAUUUUGGACGUUUGCUGAUAUGUGCCAUUUUAUUUGAAGAUGGAAGUAAGUGAACAUGGCGUUGGACAUUGCUCAUUGUACUUGCUAUCUGGCCUUUACGCAUGUUGCCAUUUUACGGACUAAAACUCAACAAGGCGGUUAAAAAGAAAUAUGCAGGUAUUGUGGAAACAAGCGAAGGGUGUGCUCUAAGAGAUGAGACCCGCCCCUCUGUUGGAGACCUACUCUUACACCAGCUGCAAAGUUUUGCUUGGAAGGUUUGAAUGAAUUGGAUCAUCACCCAGAAGAGAACAAUCUCAUGAGACUGAAGUAGAAAAGUUUUACAAAACUUCAGGCAAAGAAUUUAAGUUUUUGAAAGUUCUUUUCUUGGUUGUUUCAGCUACGAUAAGAGCUUGCUUUCUAGAAUUACUGUUAGAACUGUGAAUUUAGUUUGGGAGGAACAAAUGCUAAUGUUUAUGGCAAUCUUGGGUAAAUGCCUUUGCAAUAAAUAAAUAAAUAAUAAAUAAAUGCACCAGGAGCUUGAUAUCAGGGUGUGUGCUGGAUAGGAAGAAAGGGACCAAGACUUUAGUGAUAAUACCAUCAAAUCCUGGGACUCACAGAGCUGCCUUUCUUGGCAGUUUUGCUAUUUAAAGUUCUAGUUUAAAAGUGUCAAACAGAAGCCCAUAUUUUCUGUAAAAUAGAGAAAUUUAAAUGAGCUAUGUCUCAGAGUUUAGUUUUGGUGGGACAACGACUAACUGCAAAAUCCACUAUUAAAAAAAAAUCAUAUUAUGGCGGCAUAUAAGUUGUGACUUAUUCUCAACUUCUGAACAUUUUGGGAAAGCAAAGAAUUAUUCCAGAGAGAAAUGUGUCCAAAAAUACC